CCUGAAGCCGUUGACGGCCGCGGACGAGCAUGGCUGCUCUACAUCCGGGGUUUCGCCGUCACUUCAUUUUGCUCAAAGGGUCCUGUGCAGCAACGGGGACGCCAUUGAGUGUCGUUGGCGUGUCGACCACUUCCCAGGUUCUAGCAGAUUGUUGGUGGAGACCGCUACAGCAGGCUCGUGCAGACUGGUGGUGUUGGUGGGGACCGCUACAGCCAUCGGAAGGGAUUUGGCAGGAGGUGGAGCCUUCUUUGCUUGACUUUUACUGCCAAGGUAGCUUUUUCCCUUCCCAUGGUUCUUCCCUUUCAUUAUUGAUGCAUUUACCUGCAAUCCUGAGCCUCAACCUGGUGUAUUUGGUGAUCACUCUCCUCUUGACAUCAUGGCAGGAUGGAAGGUUUGAUUUCAUAGUCAUGGCCUCUUCCACUAGUUCACUGACUGAGCACUCCAUUAGGGCUUCUGAUGUCCUGGCCCGGAACAGCUGCUCAACGUGCUGCAGUAAAGAGAAUACAUCCGCAGAUGGCUGGUGAAGUGCGCCCUCUCUGUACUCCUUCAUCUGCAGCAGUGUGGCGUUGUCCGGUACAGCGUCGUCACUGUUCCUUAAGGCAGGCUUACAGGCCGAACACAAAGAGCCGCCUAGUACACCCUUGAUGACGUAUCCGGCCAGAUGGUAUAGCACACAGGACUCCGCUUUUGUGAGUGCAUUUGGUGGAUGGGUGGCUGGUGGUGGUGGUGUGUCUACCAAGUGCUAGAAUCAUAGCUGUCAUCUGUUGUAAUUAUUCACUUGGUCAUAAUGAUACCACAGAUUCAUUGAAAAUCACUUCUUUCAAUCAGCAGUGACUGGCUGUGAAAUAUUUAACCGUCCAGAUCCAGUUCAACAUUUGACUAAUAUCACUGUUUUUGUCUUUUGUAUUCCCAUUGAGUUGUGUUACAGGUGGAAAUGAUUCUGCUCCUACUGCAUGAGACUGCUGCUGUUGAUGGGGAAGUGCUUUUGCCAGAAAUGGCUUAGUUGCAGGUGGUGGCUUUCUUGAGUUGCACUGAUAAGGUAACCUAACUAACCUUUUGAGGACCCUUACAGUAAGUAAUAUUAUAUCUGUGUCUAACAUUUUGUAUUUCCGGUGAUUGAGGUCUUUAGCUGCAAAAUGUAUAGGACUUUGGUCAGACUAGUAGGGCCGGAUAUAUGUGCACAGCAACAUAGUUGUCUUUUUUUUGUUUCUAUACGCCAUCCCAAUGGAAUUCAAAUGAAACUACGGUAACAAGAGAAUAAAAGUGCCUUUCAAAACAUUCAAGGAUCAGAGAGAAGUAAUAAUAAAACGAAGACACAUUAACACAUUUUUAACAAAAAUAAAACGGUAGUUAAAAAGUCCUAAGGAAUAGGCUAACUGAAACAAAUGAGUUUUUAGUCUGCAUUUGAACUUGGGUAAUAAGUCAGGGGGCAGUGCAUUCCAGAGCUGAGGAGCAGAGCAACUGAAAAGCUCUAUUCCCCAUGGUACUGAGAUGGGCAGAGGGACAGAGAGGAGGAUGGUCGAGGACAAACCGAGGUAGCGAGAGGGAAUGGCAAGGCAAGAUUGUUGCAAGAUUGUGAAUGGCCUGGAAGGUGUGCAGGACAGGAGUAUUUUAAGAAGCACAGGGUAUUGAGCACUCAGAGACAUAGCCAAGGUAAGAAUGGAAGACGCCGAACAACCAUUCAACAAGUUAAUUGAGUCAAGACUGGGUCAUGAAAUACCAGAGGACAGUUUUCAAAGGUAUGGACUAGUGAAAGUGACUGUUGACAGACAGGGUGUCAAGACAAUGGUAUUUGUGUCGUAUUCGUGGGUAAGCGGUUAGGGUGUCAGACUUGUAGCCCAAAGGAUGCUGGUUCGACUCCGACCCGCCAGGUUGGUGCGGGGAGUAAUUAACCAGUGCUCUCCCCCAUCCUCCUCCCUGACUGAGGUACCCUGAUCAUGGUACCGUCCCGCCACACUGCGCCAUUGGGGACUGCCCCCUUGCAUGGAUGAGGCAGAAAUGCAAUUUUCUAGUGUGCAGUGUUCACUUGAAUUUUGUGGAGUACUGUGUCACAGUGAAUUUAAAUGUAUUACUUUAAUAAAUGUUAAUGACAAGUAGGAAUGGGCAGCAUAGUGGCAAUGCCUAGUCUUGCCACCCUUGUAAGAUCAGAUAACUAACUUUUAGUGUCUGUUUUCACCCUUGUAAGAUCAGAUAACUAACUUUUAGUGUCUGUUUUCACAGAAAUUUGUCUAGCGUGACACUUCUCCACAAUCCACAUGUAAACAGGCAUUUAAAAACAAUAUGGCCAUUGGUCUUGUCCUCUAGGUCCUCUAGGCCCAAGCUGUUAGGGCAGCACAGUACAAUAAAUUAAGUUGCCAAAAAAAAAACUUAAAAUAUUCCUCUGUGGUAUUAAAAAAAAUAUGCUUUCCAUGUAGAUGUGUGCAUUCUACUGUUCUCCACUUCUGUGAAGCAAUACUAUAGGAUGAGGGUGAAAAUGGUGUU
This is a long non-coding RNA of Engraulis encrasicolus (European anchovy), 2481 nucleotides long. RefSeq lists it as uncharacterized. Lineage: Eukaryota; Metazoa; Chordata; Actinopteri; Clupeiformes; Engraulidae. The transcript is spliced from 2 exons. The record is from RefSeq and is a predicted model, not a curated record.